CCCUAGUAACUGCGAGUGAAGCGGGAAAAGCUCAAAUUUAAAAUCUGGCGGUUCUUGCAGUCGUCCGAGUUGUAAUUUAGAGAAGUGCUAUCCGCGCUGGACCGUAUACAAGUCUCCUGGAAUGGAGCGUCAUAGAGGGUGAGAAUCCCGUCUUUGAUACGGACUGCCAGGGCUUUGUGAUGCGCUCUCGAAGAGUCGAGUUGUUUGGGAAUGCAGCUCAAAAUGGGUGGUAAAUUCCAUCUAAAGCUAAAUAUUGGCGAGAGACCGAUAGCGAACAAGUACCGUGAGGGAAAGAUGAAAAGAACUUUGGAAAGAGAGUUAAACAGUACGUGAAAUUGUUAAAAGGGAAACGCUUGAAGUCAGUCGCGUUGGCUGGGGAUCAUCCUUGCUUUUGCUUGGUGUACUUCCUAGUUGAUGGGUCAACAUCAGUUUUGAUUGUUGGAUAAAGUUCAGAGGAAUGUGGCAUCUUUAGAUGUGUUAUAGCCUUUGUUCGUAUACAGCAGUUGGGAUUGAGGAACUCAGCACGCCGCAAGCCCGGGUAUUUAUACCACGUACGUGCUUAGGAUGUUGGCAUAAUGGCUUUAAUCGACCCGUCUUGAAACACGGACCAAGGAGUCUAACAUGCCUGCGAGUGUUUGGGGUGGAAAACCCGAGCGCGUAAUGAAAGUGAAAGUUGAGAUUUUCUGUCAUGGAAAGCAUCGACGC
RNAcentral lists this ribosomal RNA (705 nucleotides) under Atheniella flavoalba. RNAcentral's name for it is "partial large subunit ribosomal RNA". It matches the Rfam family "Eukaryotic large subunit ribosomal RNA", at positions 78 to 764 of the family's 3401-position model. Lineage: Eukaryota; Fungi; Basidiomycota; Agaricomycetes; Agaricales; Mycenaceae. The record is from RNAcentral.